GCCCAAUACAUGUGCCUAAGAAAAUCUUCAUGAGCCGAUAAACAUAGUCACAAAACUAGUAACAGCCUUGUAGCCAUAGUUGGUGUAGUAUGAGCAAGUGGGGUAUGAAGUAGGUAGGUGAGUAUUGCAAUGAAAUUUCCAGCACUGCUUCCUGAAUUAAGAAAUCACAUACCCAAGUCUUAGUCGUCGUCGUCGUCGUACCGUGUGAGAACCGGGAAGAAUCUUUGCUCGUAGACUGGCUUUUGUAGUCUUUCUUUAACAAUUACAAGUUAUCUGAAUUCCCUUCAUCCUCCUAUAUAAUAUUGUUUUGGUCUUGUUCUUGUUGCAUUGUGGCUAGGCAUCUCCAUGGAAGGAAGGAGGAUGAAUCAAGUUCCUUUGUAUGAAUCAAUUUCUCUGCUCUUUUUUUUUUUCAAUCCUUGAAUCGAAUCAUUGCUUAGUUCUUGCUUUAAUUUCUCCAUUUUCUGUUGGGUCUUUGAUUGCAGGUUUAGCUCUGCAAGAGAACUGGGAAAUUUAAUUGUGACCUCCAAUCUAAUCGACUCUGCUUUGACUAAAAUUCUUGAGCUUCAAAGAGACCAAACAGCCUUGCUUUCCCCCGUUCAAUACAGAGUUUUUUUAUCCAUCUCCCAACUGCACAAUUGUAGCUUUUGUCUCUUCACCUGACUGCACUCAAAACCCUCUUCCUGGACAAGGAGAUUUAGUUCCCUCUCCUCUCUUUGACUUCCUCUGCACCGAAGAAUACAAGUCCGUCUCCAUUAACAGAGCUGCAUUAACCCUCUUUACCUCUCUCCACGAUCAUCUCUCUGGACUAAAAACUCAGGUCAAAAUAUGAUAGUUGUUUUUAUUUUCGUUUCCUUUUUGUUAACAAUUGUGAGACAUGAAACAGCUUGACCAUGAGAUCUCUCUCAUAGAGUCAAACUACCUGAAGAAGAAGAAGACGUUACACAUAUCCAUCUGCGUUGCAUCAUCGCAUUACCCAUUGAUCGGUUGUGAUUCAACUCUUAAUAGGAAGACAGUAGAACUGGUGUUGGUAUCUGUUUUUAGAUCAGCUUAUAUGUAUCUUGUUGCUAAAAAGGGAAUGUUUAGAAGUGAGAUUAAUGGGAUUAUUCUGACAUGGAUUUCAUAUGGUUACCUGUUUUGCAGUUGACUGUGAUUGAAGGUCAAUUAAUCAUCACUGGGCACUCCCUGGGAGGAGCCGUUGCUUCUCUCUUCACCUUAUGCCUGCUAGAUGAAAAUUUAUUAAAACCCAAAUGCCGCCCCUUUUGUAUCACCUUUGGUUCACCCCUCGUCGGCGGCUUUGGCCUCCAACACUCCAUAUGGAAUUCUUUCUUCCUGCAUGUAGUGUCUAACCAAGACCCAGUCCCCGGUCUCUUCCUCCCAUCUGGCAGAGGCAGAUCUACGCCCACAUCCUCCCAUUCACAAACUACCGGUUACAAGCCCUUUGGGACAUAUCUCUUGUGCUCUGAACUUGGUUGUGCUUGUUUUGACAACCCUGAUUUAAUUUUGGAAUUGCUGAAAGUCAUAUCAUCAGAGGUUGCCGGAGGAUUGCAGGAUGUUGAUUAUGGGGAGAUUUUAAGAAACCUCAAGGAGAGGGCAAUCUGCAAGGGACUUCCGCAGGUGGGUGAAAGGUUUGCAAAUCCAUUUUCAGCUGGGAUCAUCAUGGAACUUGAGACAAUUGGAUUUAAUCAAACAAAGGUAAACAGCUUUCUCCCAUCUAAUGAUGUUAUGGAACAUGGUUUACACCUCAUUAAAUACUGCAACAACUGCCCUAUUUAGAUUUACCUUCUUGUUCUUUGGGAUUUUCCAUAACUAGACUCAUUUUUUAAUUUCAUGGCAGCUGCUGCAGCAUAACAUUGAUAUCGAGACUGUGAUAAGCGCAAUGGAAGCGGAAGCAAGAAACCUAACCCAGAAAAAUAAAGCUUCCGAUGCCAAGAAACUGAAUGAAAUAAAAAUAGACAUGACCCGGCUAGAAUUGUAUAAGAAGAAUUCGAACAUGGGUUACUACGAUUGCUUCAAAAACCAGGGGUCUAAAAGGGACAUCCACGUUGAACAGUUUAGGGUAAACCUCACAGGGUACUGGGAAGGCAUGGUUGCACAAAUACAGAGGAAGCCUCAUAAGGAAGGAGCAACAUUUCGAACCCGUUGGCUCUAUGCAGGGACGGUUUAUAGAAGAAUGGUUGAACCACUGGACAUUGCUGCCUUCUACAGAGAGGGUAGAAAAGACUACAUGAAUAAAAGAUCUGCACAUUACAAGCUGUUGCAGGAAUGGUAUGAGGAAGAUGUGAAACCCCCCUCUAGAGAUAAGCUUGAUUCCAAGAAGCAAAAGGUGUCCAGUAUCCUAACUGAGGAUUCUUGCUUUUGGGCACAUGUGGAGGAGGCUAUCUUGUCAUGCGAAUUGCUCAAGAGUGAAAACUGUAAUCUUGAGGAGGGAAAAUCAUCAUGGGAUAAUCUGGUUAAGUUCGAGGAGUAUGUAAUGGAACAGAUUGACAACUAUGCAGUGUCCCCUGAGAUUUUCUUGGAGAAAAGCAGCUUCAUGAAAUGGAGGGGACUGUAUGAGGGCUACAUAGAUACUCGCAGUAAUUCCCAUAGCUCGCCAUUGAUCAGCUUUAUGAAGAAUCGUAGUUAUAGACAAUAUGGAUAGAGGGGUAAUCCAGUUUGUGUGUUGUGUGUAUUGUUUUGUGAGCAUUCAAUGGAUAGAACUAGAAAGAGUGUGACCUUUUCCUUUUUUUUUUCAGUUGCUGCCCAUAUUCUCAGCACUAUUUUCUUCCUUCUUUUCCUCAGUUUUUUUGUUAAGAAAUGAAUAUUAUGAUGUUGCCGGGAUGCACUUUCAUUUUUGUUCCAUUACAUUGUGUUUUAUUCAUAUCCUAAACAAAUAAAUGUAAACAAGAAAAUCAAAUGAGACUUCAAAGAGUCUGUUCCUUUUAAAGCAAGGGAAAAAAAGGACAUGUUUGUUUACUUCCACAGCUGGGUAGAUUCAACUCCACCAAAAUUGGCAACAACUUCCCAUUGAAAAAUUCCUUUUAAGCUUGAAUGACAUAAAACUAGAUAUGUUCCAGCUAGAAUGGUACAAGAAAGAAAUCAAAAGAUGAGCACAAUGGGUUAUUAUGACAGCUUUAGAAACCUGGGGUGUAAAAGAGACAUUAAAAUGGAACCGAGGGGAAGACAUUGUAGAACAAGUAAAGAGGAAGCCUCACCAGGAAGGGCAGCUUUGCAAACCCUCUGGCUCUGUACAGGAACGAAUUAUAGAAAGAUGGUUGAACCACUUGACAUUGCUGCCUACCACAGAGAGGGUGGAAGAAACUACAUAACCAAUGGAGGAUGUAAACAUUACACGCUAUUAGAGCAAUGAUGCAAUGAAGAGAAGGGGACUUUGUCUUCCAAUAAUUUAAGAAAAUAAAACCAAAUAAUGCCAGAAUUUGGGUUGAGAAACACCCAAAAGAUAGUGGCCCAAUAUGAAGUAGUCACAAAACUAGUAACAGCCUUGUGGCCAUAGUUGGUGUAGUAUGAGCAAGUGGGGUAUGAAGUAGGUAGGUGAGUAUUGCAAUGAAAUUUCCAGCACUGCUUCCUGAAUUAAGAAAUCACAUACUCAAGUCUUAAUCGUUGUCAUCAUACCGUGUGAGAACCGAGGAAGAAUCUUUGCUCUUAGACUGGAUUUUGUAGUCUUUCUUUAACAAUUACAAGUUAUCUGAAUUCCCUUCAUCCUCCUAUAUAAUAUUGUUUUUGGUCUUGUUCUUGUUGCAUUGUGGCUAGGCAUCUCCAUGGGAGGAAGGAGGAUGAAUCAAGUUCCUUUGUAUGAAUCAAUUUCUCUGCUCUUUUUUUUUUCAAUCCUUGAAUCGAAUCAUUGCUUAGUUCUUGCUUUAAUUUCUCCAUUUUCUGUUGGGUCUUUGAUUGCAGGUUUAGCUCUGCAAGAAAACUGGGAAAUUUAAUUGUGACCUCCAAUCUAAUCGACUCUGCUUUGACUAAAAUUCUUGAGCUUCAAAGAGACCAAACAGCCUUGCCUUCCCCCGUUCAAUACAGAGUUUUUUAUCCAUCUCCCAACUGCACAAUUGUAGCUUUUGUCUCUUCACCUGACUGCACUCAAAACCCUCUUCCUGGACAAGGAGAUUUAGUUCCCUCUCCUCUCUUUGACUUCCUCUGCACCGAAGAAUACAAGUCCGUCUCCAUUAACAGAGCUGCAUUAACCCUCUUUACCUCUCUCCACGAUCAUCUCUCUGGACUAAAAACUCAGGUCAAAAUAUGAUAGUUGUUUUUAUUUUCGUUUCCUUUUUGUUAACAAUUGGGAGACAUGAAACAGCUUGACCAUGAGAUCUCUCUCAUAGAGUCAAACUACCUGAAGAAGAAGAAGACGUUACACAUAUCCAUCUGCGCUGCAUCAUCGCAUUACCCAUUGAUCGGUUGUGAUUCAACUCUUAAUAGGAAGACAGUAGAACUGGUGUUGGUAUCUGUUUUUAGAUCAGCUUAUAUGUAUCUUGUUGCUAAAAAGGGAAUGUUUAGAAGUGAGAUUAAUGGGAUUAUUCUGACAUGGAUUUCAUAUGGUUACCUGUUUUGCAGUUGACUGUGAUUGAAGGUCGAUUAAUCAUUACUGGGUACUCGAUGGGAGGAUCCGUUGCUUCUCUCUUCACCUUAUGCCUGUUAGAAGUCAUCAAUUUAUCAAAACCCAAAUGCCGCCCCAUUUGUAUCACCUUUGGUUCACCCCUCAUAGGCGACUUUGGCCUCCAACACUCCAAUUGGAAUUCUUUCUUCUUGCAUGUAGUGUCCAACCAAGAUCUAGUCCCCGGACUCUUCCUCCCAUCCGACAGAUCUCCUCCCACAUCCUCCCAUUCACAAACUACUGGUUACAAGCCCUUUGGGACAUAUCUCUUGUGCUCUGAACUUGGUUGUGCUUGUUUUGACAACUCUGAUUUAAUUUUGGAAUUGCUGAAAGUCAUAUCAUCAGAGGUUGCCAGAGGAUUGCGGGAUGUUGAUUACAGGAAGAUUUUAAGAAACCUCAAGGAGAGGGCAAUCUGCAAGGGACUUCCGCAGGUGGGUGAAAGGUUUGCAAAUCCAUUUUCAGCUGGGAUCAUCAUGGAACUUGAGACGAUUGGAUUUAAUGAAACAAAGGUAAACAGCUUUCUCCCAUCUACUGAUGUUAUGGAACAUGGUUUACACAUCAUUAAAUACUGCAACAACUGCCCUAUUUAGAUUUAGGGCAAUGAUGAAAAUAUCAGUAAUCACGGAUAUAUCAGUAUUUCGAUUUUACGGAUAUAUCGGAUAUAUCGGAGAUAUAUCGGUAGAUAUUUUGAAAAAAAAUAUCGGCAAGCUUAAAAUUGUUAAAAACUCAUGAAAAUAUAAGAAAAUCUCAUAAUAAUAUAAUUAAAAGUAUAAUAGACAUUUUAAAGUUAUUUUAUUGAAAAUUUUGAUAUAUGUAUAACAUGAUUUAUCAUAUUUGAUAAUAAUAUCGUAUGCGUCGAUAAAAAUAUGAAUUUUAUAAGUGUACAUUUAUUAUUAAAUUACACCUAAUAUUAUGAUAUCUGAUUAUAAUAUGUCUAAUUUUAAAAUAUAUAUUAGUAUUAAAAUAUGAUCCAUUUAAUUCAAUUGUAUUAAACAAUAUAAAAUAAAUAAUGAUAUAUAUAUAUAUAUAUAUAAUUUUUUAAUAUUUAAUUAAUUAUUAAUGAUAUUAAAAACAUUAUGAAGAAAAUUAUAUAAUUUUUUAAUUUUUGGUAAUUAAUUAAAAGACUUUGCAUUUAAUUAUAAAUUAAUUAUAAUUAAUUUACUCUUUAAAAUAUUCUUAUAUUUUCUUUAUAUAAUGAAUUUAAGUAUAUAUAUAGUUGUUGCAUAUUAUAUAUUAAAGGACAACUUAGCCCAAGUGGUAAGCGAGUGAACCCCAAUGUGAGGCAUUGUAGCACGUGCACUGUAGCAUCACUGUAGCGACUCUGACUUUCGUUGACCCGCAUUGACUACACGAUAUAUCGGAGAAAAAUCACUGAUUUAUCGCCAAAUCACCAAUAAAUCGCCGAUUUCUCGCGAUAAAUACCAAAAUAUAGUGUCGAAACCCUUCGAUACACGAUUUUUCGGCGCAUUUUCUUACUUGGAUUUACCUUUUUGUUCUUUGGGAUCUUCCAUGACUCAUUUUUUAAUGCCAUUUUAUUUUCCUUUUUGUUUCUAAAUUUUUAAAAAAUCGUUUUCACUUCUUUUUUUUAAGAAAAUUUUGGCAAAUUUUGAAAAUAUAAUAUUAGUGUUUUCACUUCUUUCUUUUUUUUUUUUUUCUUUUUUUUUUUAAACUCAAUUUUCUAAAAAAUGAAAAUAGAAAAACAUUGUCUAAACAUGUUUGUAAACUUAAUUUUAUUUUUUUAUAAAUGAAAAAAAAAAUCUAAAUGAGUAAGGCUUUAUUAAUUUUAAUUUUUUUCUUUUCCUUAUAUUUUCUUAUUUUAUUCCAAAUUUUCUUGCAACCAAACAUAAUCUAAAUGUUUACAACUUUUAUUGUAAGGAAUGAAUGACACUACUUUGUGAACUUUUAUGAUAAUAUUUUGAAUCAUAAAUUGUGUUUUUUUUAGUAAUAUCAAUUUUAUUACCAAUGACUUAAUUGUUAAUAACAAAAUAUAAUAUUUAUAAAUAUUUUUAUUCUCAACAGGCUACAAUUUUUACUCUUGUGAUAAAAAAAAUUUUGUCAUAAAUUACACAUUAUGAUGAGUUUUUCUAUUUUCCUUAUCAGCCAAUUCAACAAAUAUCAUAUAUAUUGUAAUGGCUAACAAAUUUUCACAUAAAUUUUUUAUAAGAUAAAGUAGAAUGGAAUUAUUCAAUUUCAAAAAAAAAAAAAAUGGUACCUAAUGAAAAAGAUAAAAUAUAUAGAUCAUCUCGAAGAAAUCAGGAAAGAUAAAUGAUGAGACCAUAUAUAGGACCCUUGAUGGAGACUAUUUUAAUUGAAGUGGUGUGCUCCUUCCGACUCAGAACAUGUUCAGCAUUGCACACAAACUAACAUCGUCGAUCUUGAGUAUGAAAAAGGUGAUUAGAUUCCAAGGUUGUCGUUUGUCCCAACUCCUCAUAUUAGAGGUGAUGCUCAAGCUAACGUGCCUCGCAGUUGAGCCCCGGCCAAUCGGUCUAAUAUGCUUUUCCAAUGGUGAGUUUCACUGCCACCAUGUAUUACAUUAAUUCCGAUAGCGCACAAGUUGUGUUUGUGCUAUUGCUUUUUGCCCUCACAAACAUAUACACAAGAGACAUUCAGACCAGAUCUGUUCUACCAUCCUCUAGGAAAGCAUUGUAGGUCAUUUGAAAUUGGGAUUUCAGCACCAGAGUCAAAUUGCCUUCCUUCCUGAAAGAUGAGCAUUUUUUAUACUCUUACAUCGGCUUUUAUGGAAAUGAAAUCAGCUUCUCAUUCUGUUACAUUUUUCAAUUUUGCUGCCUAUAACUGCUCACUGCCUGUUUGUGAGACAUUAUCCAGAUUUUCCCUGAUCAAUUAUAGAGAGGUCAUUGGACUCAUCCAUGAUUGGAAUUUCCUGUUAUCAUUAUUUGCAAAUCAUCAACCAUUUGUCAUGAUAUCUUAAGUUAAGCUGAGCACGAAUUUCAGCUAAGAUCCUCAGAACUAGAAAUAUGCACUGCAGGUAUUACUUGAUAUGUGAAUAUCCAAUACAAUAUUUUUUUACUAAGAGGAAUACGAAUUUGAAACACUUUCCAAUAAUUUAUCAAGUCAUAUUUUCGUGCUGUCGUGAUACAUGUGUCUACUGUAUGCAUGGCUUUUCUUUUCUACACAUGCCUUUAUCUUUGCACAUGACUCUUUUGAUACACGCCAGCAUCAAGGCAAUUGCCUAAAUCUAAAUCACAUCCUUUGUGUCACGUCUUCCUUGUUACCACGGUCCUCUUGUACACCAUGGUCCCUUAAUGUAACUUGUGCCACAAGCCCUUUGUGCAUGAAUUCAAAUUGUUCAAUCAUUUCGCCAUUUACACCUUUUAAGGUCCAAUAAGCGUAUACAAGAGACUACACUCAUUCUAGAUGAUAAAGUACAUUCAACUAACUACUCUUGCUAAUGAGCAUAUCCAAGUCAAUACAUAAGAUUAAUUAUUACAUAUGGUAAUUGAAACCCUGUUUAAAUAAAUAGUGACACAAAUAUAAAAAAUAUAUAUAUUUAAAAAUAAAUAAAUAACAAUUUAGAGAAUUUCAUAACUUAGUAUCAAACCUAUUGUAGGAAAGAGUAUUAUACAAUGUAGGGUUUAGGAUCAAAGUUAACCUAAGAUCAAUUUUAAGUUUUAAGACCAAUUCAAAUUCAAAACUAAGGUUUUAAGUUUCAAAAAUAUAUCUCUUAAACCAAUUAAAUAGAAAAAAGAAAAUUACAAAGAAAAUUUCUUCCUCAUCGGUUUCUUUUAUCUUGAAAACUAAAGGAAAUAUAUAUCAAUAUUUGAGAUGGAAAUUCAUAAUCUUAGAAACACAAAGAACAAAGAGAGUAUGAAGAGACCAUACCAUGAGAGAUUUUCCAAAAGGUUGGUAAACCAUGGUAAUCACCUUUGAGUUUUGCUGAGAAAAACAAACCUUAAUUUUUAUUUUUAUUUUUUUAUCAUUUUUUCUCUUGUGGUGUACAUUUAAGAAAAACAAAUCUUAAAAAAAAAAAAAAAAAAACCAAAUAAUGCCAGAAUUUGGGUUGAGAAACACCCAAAAGAUAGUGGCCCAAUACAUGUGCCUAAGAAAAUCUUCAUGAGCCGAUAAACAUAGUCACAAAACUAGUAACAGCCUUGUAGCCAUAGUUGGUGUAGUAUGAGCAAGUGGGGUAUGAAGUAGGUAGGUGAGUAUUGCAAUGAAAUUUCCAGCACUGCUUCCUGAAUUAAGAAAUCACAUACCCAAGUCUUAGUCGUCGUCGUCGUACCGUGUGAGAACCGGGAAGAAUCUUUGCUCGUAGAGUGGCUUUUGUAGUCUUUCUUUAACAAUUACAAGUUAUCUGAAUUCCCUUCAUCCUCCUAUAUAAUAUUGUUUUUGGUCUUGUUCUUGUUGCAUUGUGGCUAGGCAUCUCCAUGGAAGGAAGGAGGAUGAAUCAAGUUCCUUUGUAUGAAUCAAUUUCUCUGCUCUUUUUCUUUUCAAUCCGUGAAUCGAAUCAUUGCUUAGUUCUUGCUUUAAUUUCUCCAUUUUCUGUUGGGUCUUUGACUGCAGGUUUAGCUCUGCAAGAGAACUGGGAAAUUUAAUGGUGACCUCCAAUCUAAUCGACUCUGCUUUGACUAAAAUUCUUGAGCUUCAAAGAGACCAAACAGCCUUGCUUUCCUCCGUUCAAUACAGAGUUUUUUAUCCAUCUCCCAAGUGCACAAUUGUAGCUUUUGUCUCUUCACCUGACUGCACUCAAAACCCUCUUCCUGGACAAGGAGAUUUAGUUCCGUCUCCUCUCUUUGACUUCCUCUGCACCGAAGAAUACAAGUCCGUCUCCAUUAACAGAGCUGCAUUAACCCUCUUUACCUCUUUCCACGAUCAUCUCUCUGGACUAAAAACUCAGGUCAAAAUAUGAUAGUUGUUUUUAUUUUCGUUUCCUUUUUGUUAACAAUUGUGAGACAUGAAACAGCUUGACCAUGAGAUCUCUCUCAUAGAGUCAAACUACCUGAAGAAGAAGAAGACGUUACACAUAUCCAUCUGCGUUGCAUCAUCGCAUUACCCAUUGAUCGGUUGUGAUUCAACUCUUAAUAGGAAGACAGUAGAACUGGUGUUGGUAUCUGUUUUUAGAUCAGCUUAUAUGUAUCUUGUUUCUAAAAAAGGUAAGUUUAGAAGUGAGAUUAAUGGGAUUAUUCUGACAUGGAUUCCAUAUGGUUACCUGUUUUGCAGUUGACUCAGAUUGAAGGUCAAUUAAUCAUCACUGGGCACUCCCUGGGAGGAUCCGUUGCUUCUCUCUUCACCUUAUGCCUGCUAGAUGGAAAUUUAUUAAAACCCAACUGCCGCCCCUUUUGUAUCACCUUUGGUUCACCCCUCAUCGGCGGCUUUGGCCUCCAACACUCCAUAUGGAAUUCUUUCUUCCUGCAUGUAGUGUCUAACCAAGACCCAGUCCCCGGUCUCUUCCUCCCAUCUGGCAGAGGCAGAUCUACGCCCACAUCCUCCCAUUCACAAACUACCGGUUACAAGCCCUUUGGGACAUAUCUCUUGUGCUCUGAACUUGGUUGUGCUUGUUUGGAAAAGCCUGAUUUAAUUUUGGGAUUGCUGAAAGUCAGAUCAUCCGAGGUUGCCGGAGGAUUGCAGGAUGUUGAUUAUGGGGAGAUUUUAAGAAACCUCAAGGAGAGGGCAAUCUGCAAGGGACUUCAGCAGGUGGGUGAAAGGUUUGCAGAUCCUUUUACAGCUGGGAUCAUCAUGGACCUUGAGAUAAUUGGAUUUGAUCAAACAAAGGUAAACAGCUAGCUUUCUCCCAUCUAAUGAUGUUAUGAAACAUGGUUUACACUUCACCAAAUACUGCAACAACUGCCCUAUUUAGAUUUGCCGUCUUGUUCUUUGGGAUCUUCCAUAACUAGACUCAUUUUUUAAUUUCAUGGCAGCUGCUGCAGCAUAACAUUGAUAUCGAGACUGUGAUAAGCACAAUGGAAGAGGAAGCCAGAAACCCAACCAAAAAAAAUAAAGCUUUCGAUGCCAAGAUUCUGAAUCACAAAAAAAAAGACAUGGCCGGGCUAGAAUGGUAUAAGAAGAAAUCAAAAGAUCUGAACAAGGGUUACUACGACUGCUUCAAAAACCAGGGGUCAAAAAGGGACAUUAAAAUUGAACAGUAUGGGGGACACCUCACAUUAUACUGGAAAGACAUGGUUGCACAAGUACAGAGGAAGCCCCAGAAGGAAGGAGCAACAUUUCGAACCCGUUGGCUCUAUGCAGGGACGGUUUAUAGAAGAAUGGUUGAACCACUGGACAUUGCUGCCUUCUACGUAGAGGGUGGAACAGACUACAUGAAGAAUGAAAGAUCUCUUCAUUACAAGCUGUUGCAGCAAUGGUAUGAGGAAGAUGUGAAACCCCCCUCUAAGGAUAAGCUUGAUUCCAAGAAGCAAAAGGUGUCUGGUAUCCUAACUGAGGAUUCUUGCUUUUGGGCACAUGUGGAGGAGGCUAUCUUGUCAUGCGAAUUGCUUAAGAGUGAAAACUGUACUCUUGAGCAGGAAAAAUCAUCAUGGGAUAAUCUGGUUAAGUUCGAGGAGUAUGUAAUGGAACAGAUUAACAACUAUGCAGUGUCCCCUGAGAUUUUCUUGGGGGAAAGCAGCUUCAUGAAAUGGUGGGGACUGUAUGAGGGCUACAUAUAUGCUCGCAGUAAUUCCCAUAGGUCACCAUUGAUCAGCUUUAUGAAGAACGGUAGUUAUACAGAGUAUCGUUAGAGGGGUAAUCCAGUUUGUGUGUUGUGUGUAUUGUUUUGUGAGCAUUCAAUGGAUAGAACUAGAAAGAGUGUGACCUUUUUCCUUUUUUUCUUCUAGUUGCUGCCCAUAUUCUCAGCACUAUUUUCUUCCUUCUUUUCCUCAGUUUUUUCUUAAGAAAUGAAUAUUAUGAUGUUGCUGGGAUGCACUUUCAUUUUUGUUCCAUUACAUUGUGUUUUAUUCAUAUCCUAAACAAAUAAAUGUAAACAAGAAAAUCAAAUAAGACUUCAAAGAGUCUGUUCCUUUUAAAGCAAGGGAAAAAAAGGACAUGUUUGUUUACUUCCACAGCUGGGUAGAUUCAACUCCACCAAAAUUGGCAACAACUUCCCAUUGAAAAAUUCCUUCUAAGCUUGAAUGACAUAAAACUAGAUAUGUUCCAGCUAGAAUGGUACAAAAAAGAAAUCAAAAGAUGAGCACAAUGGGUUAUUAUGACAGCUUUAGAAACCAUCUUACAACACAUCCAUCAGAAUUUAGACUAUUCAUAGAAACAUUCUUAACAUGUAAAUCUACUAUUGCCAUGCACGUCAACAUAGAAUUUCUAAAAUGAUUGAAUAAAAUAAAUAAAACAAAAGAAACCCUUCCAAGAGAAUUUCAUAAUCUAAUGUCAAAUCUAUUACGAAGAUGAACAUGUAAAAUUUAAGGUUUAUAAUCAAAGUCGACUUGAAUCUGAGUUUUAAAACCAAUUUGCAGUUUUUAAGUUUGGAGACUAGAUCUCUUAAACCAAUUAAAUGUAAAAAACUAAAAAGAAAACUUCUUCAAAUUUUGAAAUGAGAAUGAGAAUGCAAUUCCUAACUAGUUUCUUCAUCAAAAAUCCCGAAAAAAAAAAAAAAAGAAGAGAGAGAGAGACCAUAGACGCCAGUGUUUGGGUUUAGAACCACCCAAGAGAGAGUAGUCCAAUAUAUGGGCUUAAGAAAAUCCUCAUGGGCCUAAGCUAAGACUAGGAACAAUCUUGUAUCCGUGGUUGGUUUAGUAUGAGCAUGUGUACUGCGAAGGAAGUAGCUGAGAAUUGCAAUGGAAUUUCCAGUACUGCUUCCUGAACGAACAAAUCGCAUACCCAAGAUUUGGUCGUCAACGCCAUGCUGGGUGAGAACCGGGGAAGCAUCUUCGCUCGUUGACGAGCUUUUGUAGUCCUUCUUUAACAAUUAUAAGGCAUCUGAAUUCCCUUCAUCCUCCCACACCAUUGUUUUUGGUCUUGUUCUUGUUGCUUUGUGACUACGCAUCUCCAUGGAAGGAAGGAGGAUGAACCAAGUUCCUUUGUAUGCAUCAAUUUUACUGUUUUUUUUUUCCUUUUUAAUCUUUGGAUCGAAUCAUUGCUUAGUUCUUGCUUAAUUUCUCCAUUUUAUGUUGGGUCUUUGAUUGCAGGUUUAGCUCUGCGCGAGAACUGGGAAAUUUAAUUGUGACCUCCAAUCUAAUCGACUCUGCUUUGACUAAAAUUCUUGAGCUUCAAAGAGACCAAACAGCCUUGCCUUCCCCCGUUCAAUACAGAGUUUUUUAUCCAUCUCCCAAGUGCACAAUUGUAGCUUUUGUCUCUUCACCUGACUGCACUCAAAACCCUCUUCCUGGACAAGGAGAUUUAGUUCCCUCUCCUCUCUUUGACUUCCUCUGCACCGAAGAAUACCCUUCCGUCUCCAUUAACGGAGCCGCAUUAACCCUCUUUACCUCUCUCUACGAUCAUCUCUCUGGACUAAUAGAUGAGGUCAAAAUCUGAUACUUGUUUUAAUUUACGUUAACUUUUCGUUAACAAUUGUGAGACACGUAUAUAUAUAUAUAUAUAUAUAUAUCUUGUGGAUAAAAGGAAAGUUUACAAGUGAGAAUAGUGGCAUUUUUCUGACAGAUUUCACACCGUUGCUUGUUUUGCACUUGACUGUGAUUGAAGGUCGAUUAAUCAUCACUGGGCACUCGAUGGGAGGAUCCGUUGCUUCUCUCUUCACCUUAUGCCUGCUAGAAGUCAUUAAUAUAUCAAAACCCAAAUGCCGCCCCAUUUGCAUCACAUUUGGUUCACCCCUCAUAGGCGACUUUGGCUUCCAACACUCCAAUUGGAAUUCUUUCUUCUUGCAUGUAGUGUCCAACCAAGAUCUAGUCCCCGGACUCUUCCUCCCAUCCGGCAGAUCUCCUCCCACAUCCUCCCAUUCACAAACUACUGGUUACAAGCCCUUUGGGACAUAUCUCUUGUGCUCUGAACUUGGUUGUGCUUGUUUUGACAACCCUGAUUUAAUUUUGGAAUUGCUGAAAGUCAUAUCAUCAGAGGUUGCCGGAGGAUUGCGGGAUGUUGAUUACAGGAAGAUUUUAAUAAACCUCAAGGAGAGGGCAAUCUUCAAGGGACUUCAGCAGGUGGGUGAAAGGUUUGCAGAUCCCUUGUCAGCUGGGAUCAUCAUGGACCUUGAGAUAAUUGGAUUUGAUCAAACAAAGGUAAACAGCUUUCUCCCAAUUAAUGAUGUAGCAUGGUUUACACUCAACUUCACCAAAACCUGCAACAACUGCCCUAUUUAGAUUUGCCUUCCGGUUCUUUGGGUUCUUCUAUAACUUCUCAUUUUUUAAAUCCAUGGCAGCUGUUGCGGCACAACAUUGAUAUCAACACUGUGAUAAGGAUACUGGGAGCGGAAGCCAGAAUCCUAGCCCACAAAAAUAAAGCUUCUGAUGCCAAGAAACUGAAUGACAUAAAAAUACACAUGGCCCAGCUAGAAUGGUAUAAGAAGAAAUCAAAAGAUCUGAACAAGGGUUACUACGACUGCUUCAAAAACCAGGGGUUAAAAAGGGACAUUAAAAUUGAACAGUAUAGGGGACACCUCACAAUAUACUGGAAAGACAUGGUUGCACAAGUACAGAGGAAGCCCCAGAAGGAAGGAGCAUCAUUUCGAACCAGUUGGCUCUAUCCAGGGACAACUUAUAGAAGAAUGGUUGAACCACUGGACAUUGCUGCCUUCUACAGAGAGGGUAGAACAGACUACAUAAACAAUGGAAGAUCUCCUCAUUACAAGCUGUUGCAGCAAUGGUAUGAGGAAGAUGUGAAGCCCCCAUCCAGAGAUAAGCUCGAUUCCAAGAAACUAAAGGUGUCUGGUAUCCUAACUGAGGAUUCUUUGUUUUGGGCACAUGUGGAGGAGGCUCUCUUGUCAUGCGAAUCGCUCAAGAGUGCAAACUCUACUCUUGAGCAGAGAAAAUCAUCAUGGGAUAAUCUGGUUAAGUUUGGGGAGUAUGUAAUGGAACAGAUUGGAAACUAUGCAGUGUCCCCUGAGAUUUUCUUGGGGGAAAGCAGCUUCAUGAAAUGGUGGGGAGUGUAUGAGGACUACAUAGAUGCUUCCAAUAAUUUCUAUGGGUCACCAUUGAUCAACUUUAUGAAGGACCGUAGUUAUAGACUGUAUGGUUAGAGGGCAAUCCAGUUUGUGUAUUGUGUUUAUUGUAUUGUGAGCAUUCAAUAGAUAAAACUAGAAAGAGCGUGACCUUUUUAUGACAACUUUAGAAACCAGGGGUUAAAAGAGACAUUACAAAUUGAAUUUUUUGAGAGGAAACCUCAAGAGUAUACUGGGAAGCCAUGGUGGAACAAGUAGAGAGGAAGCUUCGGAAGGAAGGAUCAAUGGUUGAACCACUUGACAUUGUUGCCUACUUCAGGGAGGGUGUAAGAAACAACAUAACCGAGGGAAGAUCUGAACAUUAAACAUUGUACAAUUAUUGUAAAUGUCUUAUACAUUACGUGUGAAAAUACCAAAAAAAAUUAUAUUCAACAUUUAUGUUUGUAUACAAGCAAUAUUUUGGAUAGUUUGAUAUAAAAAACAAAUGAAGAAAACGAAGAAAAACAUACAAAUAUAUUUACAAUGGACAAACUUAUACAAUUAGUGUAAAUGUCUUGUAUAUUUAGUACAAAAGUCUCGUACUUUGUAAAAAUAUAAAAAUAUAGUAUUUGACUUUUAUAUAUGUGUGAAAAUGUAAAAGGAAAAAGAAAAAUAGUUAGAGCAUUUGGUACCGUGAGUGAUGACUUCACCUAAAGAAAGGUUAAUGAAUAUUAUGGUCUCGAUGGAAGAGCGACUCCGGUAAAAUAUAUGGAUUAAAUUGAUGCUUUUCUUUUGACGAUGAAGUAGUUGAGUUAUGAAUACGAGGUUUUGCUAACAACAUUGAAGGCAAGGAUUCCCUAAUAUACUCCAAUUCAUAUUCAAUUUGUAGACCUUCAACUAACUACUCUUGCUAAUGAGCAUAUCCAAGUGAAUACAUAAGAUUAAUUAUUACAUAUGAUAAUUGAAACCCUGUUUAAAUAAAUAGUGACACAAAUAUAAAAAAUAUAUAUAUUUAAAAAUAAAUAAAUAAUAAUUUAGAGAAUUUCAUAACUUAGCAUCAAACCUAUUGUAGGAAAGAGUAUUAUACAAUGUAGGGUUUAGGAUCAAAGUUAACCUAAGAUCAAAUUUAAGUCUUAAGACCAAUUCACAUUCAAAACUAAGGUUUUAAAUUUCAAAAAUAUAUCUCUUAAACCAAUUAAAUGGAAAAAAGAAAAUUACAAAGAAAAUUUCUUCCUCAUCGGUUUCUUUUAUCUUGAAAACUAAAGGAAAUAUAUAUCAAUAUUUGAGAUGGAAAUUCAUAAUCUUAGAAACACAAAGAACAAAGAGAGUAUGAAGAGACCAUACCAUGAGAGAUUUUCCAAAAGGUUGGUAAACCAUGGUAAUCACCUUUGAGUUUUGCUGAGAAAAACAAACCUUAAUUUUUAUUUUUAUUUUUUUAUCAUUUUUUCUCUUGUGGUGUACAUUUAAGAAAAACAAAUCUUAAAAAAAAAAAAAAAAAAACCAAAUAAUGCCAGAAUUUGGGUUGAGAAACACCCAAAAGAUAGUGGCCCAAUACAUGUGCCUAAGAAAAUCUUCAUGAGCCGAUAAACAUAGUCACAAAACUAGGAACAGCCUUGUAGCCAUAGUUGGUGUAGUAUGAGCAAGUGGGGUAUGAAGUAGGUAGGUGAGUAUUGCAAUGAAAUUUCCAGCACUGCUUCCUGAAUUAAGAAAUCACAUACUCAAGUCUUAAUCGUUGUCAUCAUACCGUGUGAGAACCGAGGAAGAAUCUUUGCUCUUAGACUGGAUUUUGUAGUCUUUCUUUAACAAUUACAAGUUAUCUGAAUUCCCUUCAUCCUCCUAUAUAAUAUUGUUUUUGGUCUUGUUCUUGUUGCAUUGUGGCUAGGCAUCUCCAUGGGAGGAAGGAGGAUGAAUCAAGUUCCUUUGUAUGAAUCAAUUUCUCUGCUCUUUUUUUUUUCAAUCCUUGAAUCGAAUCAUUGCUUAGUUCUUGCUUUAAUUUCUCCAUUUUCUGUUGGGUCUUUGAUUGCAGGUUUAGCUCUGCAAGAAAACUGGGAAAUUUAAUUGUGACCUCCAAUCUAAUCGACUCUGCUUUGACUAAAAUUCUUGAGCUUCAAAGAGACCAAACAGCCUUGCCUUCCCCCGUUCAAUACAGAGUUUUUUAUCCAUCUCCCAAGUGCACAAUUGUAGCUUUUGUCUCUUCACCUGACUGCACUCAAAACCCUCUUCCUGGACAAGGAGAUUUAGUUCCCUCUCCUCUCUUUGACUUCCUCUGCACCGAAGAAUACAAGUCCGUCUCCAUUAACAGAGCUGCAUUAACCCUCUUUAC
This 16905-nucleotide long non-coding RNA is filed under the name Vitis vinifera (wine grape). Its description in RNAcentral is "long non-coding RNA (VVIN_LNC004863)". Lineage: Eukaryota; Viridiplantae; Streptophyta; Magnoliopsida; Vitales; Vitaceae. The record is from RNAcentral.